RNAcentral lists this long non-coding RNA (264 nucleotides) under Lathyrus oleraceus (garden pea). RNAcentral describes it as "Pisum sativum (pea) long non-coding RNA (PSAT_LNC010334)". The record is from RNAcentral. Lineage: Eukaryota; Viridiplantae; Streptophyta; Magnoliopsida; Fabales; Fabaceae.
UUAGAUCAUAGAGUUAGUUUUCGGUUAUGAUUGGAUAUUGUAAAUUAGUUAGAGUUAACUGUGGAUUUCAGUUUCUGUUAGGUUAACUUGGAUGAGAAAUUCUGUUAGACCGUUAGUGAAUUGUUAAUGCAGUUAUGCUUGGUUAUUGGUUUUUUGUGAAAACUGUUAAGGUUGGUUGCAAUCGGUUAGUCACUGUUAGUUGAAGAAGUAAGUUAGAAUGUUAUAUUCAUGAAUUGGAAUUCAAGUGAUUUAGUUAAUCUGUUA